GGAGAGGUCGCAUAGUGGCCUAGUGCGCCCGCCUCGAAAGCGGGUACCCGGCGAAGAGCUGGGUCGCGGGUUCGAAUCCCGCCCUCUCCGCCA
RNAcentral lists this transfer RNA (93 nucleotides) under bacterium. RNAcentral describes it as "tRNA-Ser". It matches the Rfam family "tRNA". From Rfam's summary of the family: Transfer RNA (tRNA) molecules are approximately 80 nucleotides in length. RNAcentral also lists the same sequence under 4 other names. The record is from RNAcentral.